This 2540-nucleotide ribosomal RNA is filed under the name Escherichia coli. RNAcentral describes it as "partial 23S ribosomal RNA". It matches the Rfam family "Bacterial large subunit ribosomal RNA", at positions 418 to 2925 of the family's 2925-position model. The record is from RNAcentral. Lineage: Bacteria; Pseudomonadati; Pseudomonadota; Gammaproteobacteria; Enterobacterales; Enterobacteriaceae.
CGGGACACGUGGUAUCCUGUCUGAAUAUGGGGGGACCAUCCUCCAAGGCUAAAUACUCCUGACUGACCGAUAGUGAACCAGUACCGUGAGGGAAAGGCGAAAAGAACCCCGGCGAGGGGAGUGAAAAAGAACCUGAAACCGUGUACGUACAAGCAGUGGGAGCCUCUUAAUGGGGUGACUGCGUACCUUUUGUAUAAUGGGUCAGCGACUUAUAUUCUGUAGCAAGGUUAACCGAAUAGGGGAGCCGAAGGGAAACCGAGUCUUAACUGGGCGUUAAGUUGCAGGGUAUAGACCCGAAACCCGGUGAUCUAGCCAUGGGCAGGUUGAAGGUUGGGUAACACUAACUGGAGGACCGAACCGACUAAUGUUGAAAAAUUAGCGGAUGACUUGUGGCUGGGGGUGAAAGGCCAAUCAAACCGGGAGAUAGCUGGUUCUCCCCGAAAGCUAUUUAGGUAGCGCCUCGUGAAUUCAUCUCCGGGGGUAGAGCACUGUUUCGGCAAGGGGGUCAUCCCGACUUACCAACCCGAUGCAAACUGCGAAUACCGGAGAAUGUUAUCACGGGAGACACACGGCGGGUGCUAACGUCCGUCGUGAAGAGGGAAACAACCCAGACCGCCAGCUAAGGUCCCAAAGUCAUGGUUAAGUGGGAAACGAUGUGGGAAGGCCCAGACAGCCAGGAUGUUGGCUUAGAAGCAGCCAUCAUUUAAAGAAAGCGUAAUAGCUCACUGGUCGAGUCGGCCUGCGCGGAAGAUGUAACGGGGCUAAACCAUGCACCGAAGCUGCGGCAGCGACGCUUAUGCGUUGUUGGGUAGGGGAGCGUUCUGUAAGCCUGUGAAGGUGUGCUGUGAGGCAUGCUGGAGGUAUCAGAAGUGCGAAUGCUGACAUAAGUAACGAUAAAGCGGGUGAAAAGCCCGCUCGCCGGAAGACCAAGGGUUCCUGUCCAACGUUAAUCGGGGCAGGGUGAGUCGACCCCUAAGGCGAGGCCGAAAGGCGUAGUCGAUGGGAAACAGGUUAAUAUUCCUGUACUUGGUGUUACUGCGAAGGGGGGACGGAGAAGGCUAUGUUGGCCGGGCGACGGUUGUCCCGGUUUAAGCGUGUAGGCUGGUUUUCCAGGCAAAUCCGGAAAACCAAGGCUGAGGCGUGAUGACGAGGCACUACGGUGCUGAAGCGACAAAUGCCCUGCUUCCAGGAAAAGCCUCUAAGCAUCAGGUAACAUCAAAUCGUACCCCAAACCGACACAGGUGGUCAGGUAGAGAAUACCAAGGCGCUUGAGAGAACUCGGGUGAAGGAACUAGGCAAAAUGGUGCCGUAACUUCGGGAGAAGGCACGCUGAUAUGUAGGUGAAGCGACUUGCUCGUGGAGCUGAAAUCAGUCGAAGAUACCAGCUGGCUGCAACUGUUUAUUAAAAACACAGCACUGUGCAAACACGAAAGUGGACGUAUACGGUGUGACGCCUGCCCGGUGCCGGAAGGUUAAUUGAUGGGGUUAGCGGCAACGCGAAGCUCUUGAUCGAAGCCCCGGUAAACGGCGGCCGUAACUAUAACGGUCCUAAGGUAGCGAAAUUCCUUGUCGGGUAAGUUCCGACCUGCACGAAUGGCGUAAUGAUGGCCAGGCUGUCUCCACCCGAGACUCAGUGAAAUUGAACUCGCUGUGAAGAUGCAGUGUACCCGCGGCAAGACGGAAAGACCCCGUGAACCUUUACUAUAGCUUGACACUGAACAUUGAGCCUUGAUGUGUAGGAUAGGUGGGAGGCUUUGAAGUGUGGACGCCAGUCUGCAUGGAGCCGACCUUGAAAUACCACCCUUUAAUGUUUGAUGUUCUAACGUUGGCCCCUAAUCGGGGUUGCGGACAGUGUCUGGUGGGUAGUUUGACUGGGGCGGUCUCCUCCUAAAGAGUAACGGAGGAGCACGAAGGUUGGCUAAUCCUGGUCGGACAUCAGGAGGUUAGUGCAAUGGCAUAAGCCAGCUUGACUGCGAGCGUGACGGCGCGAGCAGGUGCGAAAGCAGGUCAUAGUGAUCCGGUGGUUCUGAAUGGAAGGGCCAUCGCUCAACGGAUAAAAGGUACUCCGGGGAUAACAGGCUGAUACCGCCCAAGAGUUCAUAUCGACGGCGGUGUUUGGCACCUCGAUGUCGGCUCAUCACAUCCUGGGGCUGAAGUAGGUCCCAAGGGUAUGGCUGUUCGCCAUUUAAAGUGGUACGCGAGCUGGGUUUAGAACGUCGUGAGACAGUUCGGUCCCUAUCUGCCGUGGGCGCUGGAGAACUGAGGGGGGCUGCUCCUAGUACGAGAGGACCGGAGUGGACGCAUCACUGGUGUUCGGGUUGUCAUGCCAAUGGCACUGCCCGGUAGCUAAAUGCGGAAGAGAUAAGUGCUGAAAGCAUCUAAGCACGAAACUUGCCCCGAGAUGAGUUCUCCCUGAGACUUAGAGUCUCCUGAAGGAACGUUGAAGACGACGACGUUGAUAGGCCGGGUGUGUAAGCGCAGCGAUGCGUUGAGCUAACCGGUACUAAUGAACCGUGAGGCUUAACCUUACAACGCCGAAG